RNAcentral lists this ribosomal RNA (460 nucleotides) under uncultured bacterium. Its description in RNAcentral is "partial 16S ribosomal RNA". It matches the Rfam family "Bacterial small subunit ribosomal RNA", at positions 338 to 795 of the family's 1533-position model. The record is from RNAcentral.
CCUACGGGAGGCAGCAGUGAGGAAUAUUGGUCAAUGGACGAGAGUCUGAACCAGCCAAGUAGCGUGAAGGAUGACUGCCCUAUGGGUUGUAAACUUCUUUUAUAUGGGAAUAAAAUGUUCCACGUGUGGGAUUUUGUAUGUACCAUAUGAAUAAGGAUCGGCUAACUCCGUGCCAGCAGCCGCGGUAAUACGGAGGAUCCGAGGGUUAUCCGGAUUUAUUGGGUUUAAAGGGAGCGUAGGUGGAUUGUUAAGUCAGUUGUGAAAGUUUGCGGCUCAACCGUAAAAUUGCAGUUGAAACUGGCAGUCUUGAGUACAGUAGAGGUGGGCGGAAGUCGUGGUGUAGCGGUGAAAUGCUUAGAUAUCACGAAGAACUCCGAUUGCGAAGGCAGUUCACUGGACUGCAACUGACACUGAGGCUCGAAAGUGUGGGUAUCAAACAGGAUUAGAUACCCCGGUAGUC